GACGAACGCUGGCGGCGUGCUUAACACAUGCAAGUCGAACGGUAAGGCCCUUCGGGGUACACGAGUGGCGAACGGGUGAGUAACACGUGGGUGAUCUGCCCUGCACUUCGGGAUAAGCCUGGGAAACUGGGUCUAAUACCGGAUAGGACCACUGCCUGCAUGGGUGGUGGUGGAAAGCUUUUGCGGUGUGGGAUGGGCCCGCGGCCUAGCAGCUUGUUGGUGGGGUGAUGGCCUACCAAGGCGACGACGGGUCGCCGGCCUGAGAGGGUGACCGGCCACACUGGGACUGAGAUACGGCCCAGACUCCUACGGGAGGCAGCAGUGGGGAAUAUUGCACAAUGGGCGCAAGCCUGAUGCGGCGACGCCGCGUGAGGGAUGACGGCCUUCGGGUUGUAAACCUCUUUCAGCACCGACGAAGCGCAAGUGACGGUAGGUGCAGAAGAAGGACCGGCCAACUACGUGCCAGCCGCCGCCGUAA
Molecule: ribosomal RNA, 478 nt
Filed under: uncultured bacterium
Lineage: Bacteria
Description: partial 16S ribosomal RNA
Rfam family: Bacterial small subunit ribosomal RNA
Source: RNAcentral